This is a long non-coding RNA of Cyprinus carpio (common carp), 3446 nucleotides long. RefSeq lists it as uncharacterized. Lineage: Eukaryota; Metazoa; Chordata; Actinopteri; Cypriniformes; Cyprinidae. The record is from RefSeq and is a predicted model, not a curated record. The transcript has 5 exons.
GUUUCAGGCAAAAAUAUUUAAUCAACCAACAACAUUUUAAGUAUUGGGAAACUGAUUUACUUUUUACGGUAUAUUUAAUUUUUUUUGUACAAAGCUUUAUGUGUCCUUGCAUGAACUUUUGCAUUUCACACAAAUAUAAAUAGGAAAAAACAUUCGUACACAUUCUUAACACUCUAAUGCACCACAGGACUUUCCCAGGCAAACAGUAAGUAAAAGUCAAUCACUUUGCACCUUUAAAUCAGUUGGCAUCAGUAAACACACAAUGAAAUGUCACAGCAAUGACCAGUGGCACUAGUAACACCAAAGUCAACGUUCGACUCCCAGGGGACACAAAUACUGCUAAAGUUUAUACCCCAAAUCCACUUCAAGUAACUUUGGAUAAAAGCAUCUGCUAAAUGAAUAAAUUUAAAUGAAAUCUGCUUUAUCCACAGGAGCUGAAAUUAUGUAAACAAGGCUUCAAAUGCCUUCUCUAUCAUGAAAUCGUGUAAUAUACACAUUUUAGCAUCCAGAAUAAAUCAAAUAAACACAAGCGAUAACUUGCAUACUCUACCCACGUCAUGUUUCGUAUCUCUGCCUCGUUUUAACAGCUAAUGAUUGUCCCCUGAGGGCUAAUGCUUCAAAGAUUUCAUGGAGCUUUAUGUAAAUGUACACCAUACAACCACAAUGAGGAACGUCAGGAUGACAAGAAGGAUAUUUUACAUGCCACGUGAGAUUUCAUAACUGAAUAUUUUUCAGAGUGCAUGUGGUGGUGGACUUUUUUUUUUCUAAAGCAUACUUUUGGAUCAUCAUCUUGCUGGUUUUGUAAUUGGAGAUAAUUAAGGAACUGAUAACAGUAUAGUUGCCUGAAGCACACCCUGCCUCAUUCUCCAAUAUGAGUGCCUUUGUAAUUGAUACUGUCAAUUACUUUCAGCUGCACUGGUGUGAAACGAGGCUUUUAAAAGCCAUUGGAUUGUGGCAUUUUCCUGGUCCUUUAAUUCCCUUUUCUUUCCGUUGUAGUUGUUUUCUCUUUGAUUUGUUCCCUGACACGCCUCUUACAUGUAAUGUGUUUGUCGGAGAUGUAGCUCUCUUGUGGGUCUCUCACCAGAAAGAAAUAAGUUAUUUAUAGUUUAUUUUCUCUUCAGUUUUGUUGUGGCUGGCUAGAAAAACCUUUUGUUCAGAGGUUCUCAUCUGGCUCUACUUCCAGUAGUGACCAAAUAGAUAACUCAUACCGUACAAAAUGUCAACAAAACCCACUUAAAAUCAAAAGUUGACAUUUUGAAAUAUUAACUGAUUGAUGUUUAAAUAAUAAUAUUAAAAAAUAUAUUUUUAUAUUUGUUAUUAUAAAUGCUAGACAUUUUAAUAUUAAUAUUGCUAUAUAAUUAUAUUGUAGUUUUAAUAAUUUACUCUUUUGAAAAUGUAUUAAUGUUAAAUGGAAUUUACUAUUUUUGCCCAGUAUGUAAGCUUAUUAUGAAAGGUUUAAUUGGAGAAUUUACACUUAUGUAUAAACAACCGCAGUUGUAUGAUUAAUCAUCCUAACACUUCAAAUAAGCACUAGUUCAAAAUUUGUGUUAGGAUUAGCUGUAUUUCUAAGUCACAAACAAAUUUACACCAGAACUGCAUACUUUUUUUUAUUUUUUUGGAUGCAUGAUCUAGUUAAUUGUAUUUAGUUUUCUGUCCUCGUUAUACAUGGGUCCAUGGUUGGUUGCAUUUUAUUGAUAGCUUUAGUAAUACUGAGAACCACUGCUUUAGUUGAUUCAAAUAUUGUUUGCUUAAAGUGAUGAGAAAGGUUAAUUAUUUGCAGUCCUAUCCUGACUGAAUGGGAAUGAACAUAAUUACUUCUGGGCAAAAUUAUUUUUUUUCUGGCAAACAUACACAUUCAGGCACACUGUCUAUGAUAUCAGUAUUGUAUGGGCUGCAGGUGUGUGAUUCCUGUGUAGUAUCACAGUGUUAAAUCCAUAAGCCCUGAUCAGUGUGAAGUCUUUUGAUUCAGCGCAGCAGUGCUCCAUUUUGCCCCAAACAGGAACAUCUGAUCCCUCUUUCUGCUGGAACGGCACAUGGACCCGCAGCCAGAUCAUCUGUCUCCUUUAUCAUCUACUUGAGUCUGACUUUUCAGGAUUCUCUGUCCACUAAGGACAUAAUCCAUGUGUAUCGGUUUAUCUCCAUCUAGCUUACUCCUCACCGGUACAACGUUCAGCCAGAUCUCGCCAAGAACCCAGGAAAGAUGUGAAGUAUCACAGACUGGAUACUUGAAAAUGAGAGAAGAAGCUCUGUACCUUCACUCCCAAUCCUGAACAAAAAUCCAGUCUAGCUUGAUUAGAUGAAAUCCAAAUUGUGUCUGUUUUUCCAUUUGAAGAAACAACCAUACUCUUCUGUGUCCAUUUUAGUGUGCCUUCUCUCCAGUGAUUUAUUAAAGCUCUUGCUCAAAAGCUCAUUAACUGACACAGUCAUGCAAAACAUGAUUUUAAAAUGCAUUUUAUUUCAUAUUAUUUUCUUAGCAAUACAUUUAUAAUGCCAGUAACUUAAUGUACUUUGAUUCAGGAACUGUAAUCAAAUUACAUUUAAAUUGUAAUGUAAUACAUUAAUGUGUUAUUGCAAAAGUAACUAGAAAACAGGAACACGCAUUCAGUACUUUGUAACACAUUAUACCCAACUCUGAUAAAGACACACAAUGUAAAAUACUUACAUAUGAUAAGAAAAAGUGGGGUCCUAAAAUCUCGCACCAUAUGAAAAAUGCUUGUUUUGUUUUUCUUUUUACUUUCUAGUAUAAUACAAUAAAAUAUUGUUUAAUUACAAACUUUGUUGCCUGCAUGCAUUUGAGAAGAAUGUUUAAUAUAAUAAUUUGCAUGAAUUAGUUGGUAUGUCCCCCUUUUGCAAUUUCAAAAGUGUGCUUCAUUUUCUCAACAAAAACUGUAAGCUUGUACUGCUCAAGCAGUACAAAAUAAGUAAAAUAAACUAAACAAAUAAUAGUACAAAUAAAAUGUGCAUGAUCUUAUUUAUUUCCAGGUUUAAACAGAAAAACUUCCCAGGUGUUCAGUGUGGUCUCAGGCUUUUAAACCCUCCAUCAGUGCAUGGUGUAUGUACUGUAGUAACCAGUAAAUUGUUGGUUCUACCCUCAUAAGGAGGGAGACAUGAGUCAUCACCAUCUUGCCCUUGAGCAUGACACUUAACCUUUUUCCAAGGGACUGUCUCUGCAAUCAGUUCAUGUCUUUCUGUAGUGAUAUUAUAUGAAAGUCCAGGAGAUUCUAUUCCAUAUAGAGAACUGAGUGAGUUUUAACAGAGAAUGGAGGAGAACCAGAUGGAAGCAGCAGGGUCCAUUAGUCUUCCUGGCAUCUCAAUUAUCACAUCUCCUCAAAGGUCACGAUGAUGACUCCUGCCCUCAUGACAGUUAAUGCGCUGACCCUAGGUCAGAUCUCAGAGACUUGUGAUGGACUGCACACCCACACAUCAUCUGCUUUCAUUCAUUCCUU